Molecule: ribosomal RNA, 490 nt
Filed under: uncultured bacterium
Lineage: Bacteria
Description: partial 16S ribosomal RNA
Rfam family: Bacterial small subunit ribosomal RNA
Source: RNAcentral
GAUGAACGCUAGCUACAGGCUUAACACAUGCAAGUCGCGGGGCAGCAUGGGGGUUGCUUGCAAUCCCCGAUGGCGACCGGCGCACGGGUGAGUAACGCGUAUCCAACCUGCCCUUCACCACGGGAUAACCCGGCGAAAGUCGGACUAAUACCGUAUGUUGUCCAUUGACGGCAUCCGAUUUGGACGAAAGGCUUGGCGGUGAGGGAUGGGGAUGCGUCCGAUUAGCCAGACGGCGGGGUAACGACCCACCGUGGCUACGAUCGGUAGGGGUUCUGAGAGGAAGGUCCCCCACACUGGAACUGAGACACGGUCCAGACUCCUACGGGAGGCAGCAGUGAGGAAUAUUGGUCAAUGGGCGUAAGCCUGAACCAGCCAAGUAGCGUGCAGGAUGACGGCCCUAUGGGUUGUAAACUGCUUUUAUGCGGGGAUAAAGUGGCCCACGUGUGGGCUUUUGCAGGUACCGCAUGAAUAAGGACCGGCUAAUUCCGUG